RNAcentral lists this ribosomal RNA (460 nucleotides) under uncultured bacterium. RNAcentral's name for it is "partial 16S ribosomal RNA". It matches the Rfam family "Bacterial small subunit ribosomal RNA", at positions 338 to 795 of the family's 1533-position model. The record is from RNAcentral.
CCUACGGGAGGCAGCAGUGAGGAAUAUUGGUCAAUGGACGAGAGUCUGAACCAGCCAAGUCGCGUGAAGGAUGACUGCCCUAUGGGUUGUAAACUUCUUUUAUAAAGGAAUAAAACGCGGCACGUGUGCCUUUUUGCAUGUACUUUAUGAAUAAGGAUCGGCUAACUCCGUGCCAGCAGCCGCGGUAAUACGGAGGAUCCGAGCGUUAUCCGGAUUUAUUGGGUGUAAAGGGAGCGUAGAUGGGAUGUUAAGUCAGUUGUGAAAGUUUGCGGCGCAACCGUAAAAUUGCAAUUGAUACUGGCAGUCUUGAGUACAGGUGAGGUAGGCGGAAUUCGUGGUGUAGCGGGGAAAUGCUUAGAUAUCACGAAGAACCCCGAGUGCGAAGGCAGCUUACUAAACUGUGACUGACAUUGAUGCUCGAAAGUGUGGGGAUCAAACAGGAUUAGAUACCCCAGUAGUC